This 520-nucleotide ribosomal RNA is filed under the name uncultured bacterium. RNAcentral describes it as "bacterial SSU rRNA". It matches the Rfam family "Bacterial small subunit ribosomal RNA", at positions 120 to 674 of the family's 1533-position model. The record is from RNAcentral.
GGGAAUCUACCCAACCCUACGGAAUAACGCAUGGAAACGUGUGCUAAUACCGUAUACGCCCUUAGGGGGAAAGAUUUAUCGGGGAUGGAUGAGCCCGCGUUGGAUUAGCUAGUUGGUGGGGUAAAGGCCUACCAAGGCGACGAUCCAUAGCUGGUCUGAGAGGAUGAUCAGCCACAUUGGGACUGAGACACGGCCCAAACUCCUACGGGAGGCAGCAGUGGGGAAUAUUGGACAAUGGGCGCAAGCCUGAUCCAGCCAUGCCGCGUGAGUGAUGAAGGCCCUAGGGUUGUAAAGCUCUUUCACCGGUGAAGAUAAUGACGGUAACCGGAGAAGAAGCCCCGGCUAACUUCGUGUCAGCAGCCGCGGUAAUACGAAGGGGGCUAGCGUUGUUCGGAAUUACUGGGCGUAAAGCGCACGUAGGCGGAUAUUUAAGUCAGGGGUGAAAUCCCGGGGCUCAACCCCGGAACUGCCUUUGAUACUGGGUAUCUAGAGUCCAGAAGAGGUGAGUGGAAUUCCGAGU